RNAcentral lists this transfer RNA (73 nucleotides) under Cotesia glomerata. Its description in RNAcentral is "tRNA-Thr". It matches the Rfam family "tRNA". Rfam says of the family: Transfer RNA (tRNA) molecules are approximately 80 nucleotides in length. Their secondary structure includes four short double-helical elements and three loops (D, anti-codon, and T loops). Further hydrogen bonds mediate the characteristic L-shaped molecular structure. tRNAs have two regions of fundamental functional importance: the anti-codon, which is responsible for specific mRNA codon recognition, and the 3' end, to which the tRNAs corresponding amino acid is attached (by aminoacyl-tRNA synthetases). tRNAs cope with the degeneracy of the genetic code in two manners: having more than one tRNA (with a specific anti-codon) for a particular amino acid; and 'wobble' base-pairing, i.e. permitting non-standard base-pairing at the 3rd anti-codon position. Lineage: Eukaryota; Metazoa; Arthropoda; Insecta; Hymenoptera; Braconidae. The record is from RNAcentral.
GUCUCGGAUAGCUUAACUGGUAGAGUACUUGGCGCGUAACCGAGAGAUCUGGGUUCGAUUCCCAGUCUGGGCU